Molecule: transfer RNA, 114 nt
Filed under: Colletotrichum caudatum
Lineage: Eukaryota; Fungi; Ascomycota; Sordariomycetes; Glomerellales; Glomerellaceae
Description: tRNA-Arg
Rfam family: tRNA
About the family: Transfer RNA (tRNA) molecules are approximately 80 nucleotides in length. Their secondary structure includes four short double-helical elements and three loops (D, anti-codon, and T loops).
Source: RNAcentral
GGCCGGUUGGCCCAAUGGCAAGGCGUCUGACUACGACUCGCGGAUUCUUCUCAAGCUAGGGGAUUCGGAGAUUGUGCAAUCAGGAGAUUCUGGGUUCGACCCCCAGGCUGGUCA